RNAcentral lists this long non-coding RNA (1172 nucleotides) under Homo sapiens (human). RNAcentral's name for it is "long intergenic non-protein coding RNA 1210". Lineage: Eukaryota; Metazoa; Chordata; Mammalia; Primates; Hominidae. The record is from RNAcentral.
GCGAGCCCACUUCUGCCCUCUUCCUACGCUGGGCGGCUCCAAACCCGCCGCGAGGGCUGAGGUGUUCACACCUGCCCACGGCAGCCUGCCUCGCCCUCAAGCGCCUCAAAGCUUCCUAAGCGCUUACAUUGGUCUUGGGACAGCCGACUUUGGCUUCUUUGUUUGUUUGAGGGACCGCGGAAGUGGCGGGGAAUGUGCCCCCGCUUGAGACCGCUUAUUGUGAGCCCUCAACGGAAAUCCUGCACGGAAGGCAACCGCCUCCCCGCUCGCGAAGGCUUCAUUUGCUCUGAGUUAUCAUUGAGAACUAAAUGGAGAAGAAAAGAACUGAAGGCCUGAAGAUAUGUCAUCUGUAGAAAAGAUGGACAUCUGAAAUCAUCAAACCCUUGAGAGAAACAGCCCUCAUUCUUUUAUGAGACAACCUGGAAGAAAACAGGACUCUGAAGAUUUGUCUCCAUAUUCUCUGGAAAGAUGUACUCUGUUUGCAAUAAGAGGGAGCCACAUGGUUUAUUAGAUGGUUAUUAAUUGAGCAUUCUGUGCAAAGAAGUUUGUGCCUUAGAUUUAGAAUUCCACCCUCAGUUGGAAUACAGAUGAUCCCUAACAAGUCACAUGAAAAAAUGAACUGUGGAGCCAGAAGAGUGAGUUCUUGGAGAACUAAGGGCCAGAGACCUGUGAGCAAGAUUUGAUAAUUUUAUAAAAAUUAAAAGACGAUUUGAAAUGUUAUUGGUCUUACUAAAACUUUUACUUGUGAACUGCAAUUGAUGACAUGAUCACUUGUGCCAAUUAUAAUUUUAUACCAAAGGACUGCAGAGCAUUGGAUGGGUUUGUUGGGCAGGUUUCUCACAAACGCUGACAGAAAGGUAUGACGAAGGAUGGGAGGACAAACUGGGGGGGUGCCAAGUAGAAAAACAGAAGCGAUGGCUAAGUGCUCGUCCUGGACUCUGCCCUUUGAUAAGGGACUGAAGGUCCCUUAUGAUCUUCUUUCAAAUUCCACCGUCACAGUUUUAGUCACAUCCAUCUAUAAUAUUAUUUACUAUCAGACUUUUCUUUAAAUUGACUCGCUUUUUCACUUUAGCCUUAUCCCAAGCAAUAAUGCAUAUAAAUCAUAAGUUUGUUGUAAUAGAUUUUUUGUAAUACUAAUCAAAAUUAAAUUUAUUCCCCUGUAACAGAGAUAA